This 253-nucleotide ribosomal RNA is filed under the name uncultured bacterium. RNAcentral's name for it is "partial 16S ribosomal RNA". It matches the Rfam family "Bacterial small subunit ribosomal RNA", at positions 524 to 776 of the family's 1533-position model. The record is from RNAcentral.
UACGUAGGGUGCGAGCGUUGUCCGGAAUUAUUGGGCGUAAAGGGCUCGUAGGCGGUCUGUUGCGUCGGGAGUGAAAACUCAGGGCUUAACCCUGAGCCUGCUUCCGAUACGGGCAGACUAGAGGUAUGCAGGGGAGAACGGAAUUCCUGGUGUAGCGGUGAAAUGCGCAGAUAUCAGGAAGAACACCCGUGGCGAAAGCGGCUCUCUGGAACGGUACUGACGCUGAGACGCGAAAGCGUGGGGAGCGAACAGG